This 903-nucleotide long non-coding RNA is filed under the name Malassezia sympodialis ATCC 42132. Lineage: Eukaryota; Fungi; Basidiomycota; Malasseziomycetes; Malasseziales; Malasseziaceae. The record is from RNAcentral.
CAAAUCCAAAAAAAGAAGGGACAAGACGUCAUUAGUCUGUGGCCGGAACGCAUAACUGUGGUUAGACGCAAGUACAUACUUGUUUACAAGAAUCACAUCCGCUCGUCGUAGCGCGUCGCGCACACGGGUAGAUUCGGUAAAGUCCUCGUCCCACGCCUCGACACGAGGACCUGCUCGGAGAUGCCACAUUCGCCAGCGGUGCGAGGCCUCUACGAGUUGCUUCGAUGCAAUUUUGCUGGGCGCUGGCAUGUACUCGCACCCGUACGCUUCGCACCCUGUUUGCAACGAUGCUUGGAGUAGGCAGUUUCCAAUUCCACUGCCCAAAUCAACGAACACCGAAUCAGUGCCCAGGUUGGCAAUCCGCUCGACCUCGUUCAGAAAGGGAGGGAGCAUUUCACCGUACACCGAGUCAGAAAAUGCUUCGUAGUGCUUCAAGGAAUCCACAUGAGGUGCAGCCACGCGCGCGUACACCUGUUCUUGGACGGUACGCCACAGAUCUUCGGGUACGCCAUGGUUUCGACCGACUUGACGCAAGUGAGAGGCAACGGCACCGGCUUUUUUCAACGCACGGAAUUCAGCAUUGAACCGCUCUACAGUCUGGACAAAGAGAGGACCAUUCCGGCGAUUACGGGCUUUAGUGAAAGAUCGCAGGAUCGAUUCUUCAGGCGGUGCCGGCGAUGCUGAGCCGUCUUUCUGUGCAUGGUUGCUUGACAAUCCACUCGUGUCCACGCGAGUAGGCGGACGAUGGGCUCUGUUUAGGGGAGCACCAGCAUUGCUGCCCGUUUCCAAGCUAUCCACAGAGCCAAAUAGUUCACGUUGCUCUUCAGAGACAUAAUUCGAGACCAUGGCACGCACAGCGUGAAGCAGGUCUGAUAUAGGGUCGUAUUCAUCUGCCAUCUUGGG